UACGUAGGGGGCUAGCGUUGUUCGGAUUCAUUGGGCGUAAAGGGCAUGUAGGCGGUUGUGCAAGUGUGGAUUUAAAGACAGAGGCUUAACCUUUAGUUUGGUCUGCAAACUGCAUAACUAGAGUAUGGGAUGGGAAACUGGAAUUCCACGUGUAGGGGUGAAAUCUGUAGAGAUGUGGAAGAAUACCUGUGGCGAAAGCGAGUUUCUGGCCUGUAACUGACGCUGAUAUGCGAAAGUGUGGGGAGCAAACAGGAUUAGAUACCCUGGUAGUCCACACCGUAAACGUUGUACACUAGGUGUUAGUGGAUUAAUCUACUAGUGCCGUAGCUAACGCGAUAAGUGUACCGCCUGGGGAGUAUGCUCGCAAGGGUGAA
This 374-nucleotide ribosomal RNA is filed under the name uncultured bacterium. RNAcentral's name for it is "bacterial SSU rRNA". It matches the Rfam family "Bacterial small subunit ribosomal RNA", at positions 524 to 898 of the family's 1533-position model. The record is from RNAcentral.